ACGGGAGGCAGCAGUGGGGAAUAUUGGGCAAUGGGCGGAAGCCUGACCCAGCAACGCCGCGUGAAGGAAGAAGGUUUUCGGAUUGUAAACUUCUGUCCUUGAUGACGAAGGAAGUGACGGUAGCCAAGGAGGAAGCCCCGGCUAACUACGUGCCAGCAGCCGCGGUAAUACGUAGGGGGCGAGCGUUGUCCGGAAUGACUGGGCGUAAAGGGCGUGUAGGCGGCCUUGUAAGUCUGGAGUGAAAGUCCUGUUUUCAAGAUGGGAAUUGCUUUGGAUACUGCAGGGCUUGAGUGCAGGAGAGGUUAUCGGAAUUCCCGGUGUAGCGGUGAAAUGCGUAGAGAUCGGGAGGAACACCAGUGGCGAAGGCGGGUAACUGGACUGCAACUGACGCUGAGACGCGAAAGUGUGGGGAGCAAACAGGAUUAGAUACCCUGGUA
This 437-nucleotide ribosomal RNA is filed under the name uncultured bacterium. RNAcentral describes it as "partial 16S ribosomal RNA". It matches the Rfam family "Bacterial small subunit ribosomal RNA", at positions 341 to 792 of the family's 1533-position model. The record is from RNAcentral.